GCAGUAAUGUAUGGAGCGGACUGAUACUAAUAGGCCGAGGGCUUGACCUA
This 50-nucleotide ribosomal RNA is filed under the name Agathobaculum hominis. RNAcentral describes it as "partial 23S ribosomal RNA". Lineage: Bacteria; Bacillati; Bacillota; Clostridia; Eubacteriales; Butyricicoccaceae. The record is from RNAcentral.